GACGUAGGAGGCGAGCGUUAUCCGGAUUCACUGGGCGUAAAGCGCAUGUAGGCGGUUGGAUAAGUCUGUUGUUAAAGCCCCCGGCUCAACUGGGGGAGGUCAAUGGAGACUGUCCGACUUGAGGGCAACAGAGGCACAUGGAACUCCCGGUGUAGCGGUGGAAUGCGUAGAGAUCGGGAAGAACACCCGUGGCGAAGGCGGUGUGCUGGGUUGCAACUGACGCUGAGAUGCGAAAGCCAGGGGAGCAAACGGG
This 253-nucleotide ribosomal RNA is filed under the name uncultured bacterium. Its description in RNAcentral is "partial 16S ribosomal RNA". It matches the Rfam family "Bacterial small subunit ribosomal RNA", at positions 524 to 776 of the family's 1533-position model. The record is from RNAcentral.